UUAUGCUGGAUAUCCUGGCAAUCAUCCCAGAUUAACAUAUGAGACAGGAACUCUGUGCGAUCGCAUUGAAGCUUAUGCGAUUGCAUCGUUCUUCCUGCCACACUU
Molecule: non-coding RNA, 105 nt
Organism: Drosophila innubila
Lineage: Eukaryota; Metazoa; Arthropoda; Insecta; Diptera; Drosophilidae
Source: RefSeq, a predicted model, not a curated record